Molecule: ribosomal RNA, 487 nt
Filed under: uncultured bacterium
Lineage: Bacteria
Description: bacterial SSU rRNA
Rfam family: Bacterial small subunit ribosomal RNA
Source: RNAcentral
GACGACGCUGGCGGCGUGCUUAAUACAUGCAAGUCGAGCGAGGUUACUGUUUUGGAUCCCUUCGGGGUGAAGAAGCUUUAACCUAGCGGCGGACGGGUGAGUAACGCGUGGGUAACCUACCCCAGAGUCCGGGAUAACAGCGGGAAACCGCUGCUAAUACCGGAUGCCUUUACCUUGGGGCAUCUUGAGGUAAAGAAAGGUAACGCUUUGGGAUGGGCCCGCGUCCCAUUAGCUAGUUGGUGAGGUAACGGCUCACCAAGGCGACGAUGGGUAGCCGGCCUGAGAGGGUGGACGGCCACACUGGGACUGAGACACGGCCCAGACUCCUACGGGAGGCAGCAGUAGGGAAUAUUGCGCAAUGGACGGAAGUCUGACGCAGCGACGCCGCGUGAGCGAUGAAGGUCUUCGGAUCGUAAAGCUCUGUCCUUGGGGAAGAAGGUCUUCGGACUUGACGGUACCCAAGAAGAAAGCCCCGGCUAACUACGUG